GAUCAAUCCGACCACAUAGAUGCAGCAUGUUAGAGAGCAUUGGGUCUGACCACAGUCCAGUGUCUGUUUAGCAUGUGGAAGGCACAGCGUGUUCAAUAGGCUACAGAACACAGACAGGGUAUGUCUCCUCAUUGCUCCAGACAGUCCUUGGAGAAGUACUGUGUGGUGACAAUGGGGCAAUGAAUGCCAAUUGAGAAAGGAUCAAAAGGGAGCUGUCUACCUGGUCCACCCACAUAGCAAUUCUGUCCUGCCCCAGAGUCUAGGACGUGCCAGAACAGUUUCUUCCUUGUAGCCCGUAGGAAGCUGACAAGAACAGAUAAUACAAGUGUCUCAAGUUCACAGGAAGUUUGCAGGACACUGGAGCUGUUUAGCGCAGUGGCGUCUCAGAAGCAAUAGAAACAAAGGCAAAAGGAAAUGCUUCAUCCACCUUCAUUAAGGAGUUUAUUGAGCUGCUCAUUUCAACAGCAGGAUAUAAAGAGAGAAAACAGCCCCUGGAAAUAAAUAUUAAAAGCUCAUCUCCGUAGACCUUAUAGAGAAAGCAAGCCGAGAGCUAACAACCUUUGAUACAGCUGGGGAGAUGACUCCUCAGUUGGAAACAUCCCAAAGAAAACCUUUCCAAGAAAGAAAGCUUUUUCUGAGAAAGAAAAGGAAUUUUUCUCAAAACCUAUUAAAAGACCCAGUGUGAAAUAAUAGAAAAAAUUAAAGGAUGCAUCAUAAAAUGAUACAGCCUGAGAAACCAGCAGGUUAUCACA
Non-coding RNA from Peromyscus maniculatus bairdii (prairie deer mouse), 752 nucleotides. NCBI's taxonomy places the organism in Eukaryota, Metazoa, Chordata, Mammalia, Rodentia, Cricetidae. The record is from RefSeq and is a predicted model, not a curated record.